Molecule: ribosomal RNA, 429 nt
Filed under: Klebsiella quasipneumoniae subsp. quasipneumoniae
Lineage: Bacteria; Pseudomonadati; Pseudomonadota; Gammaproteobacteria; Enterobacterales; Enterobacteriaceae
Description: bacterial SSU rRNA
Rfam family: Bacterial small subunit ribosomal RNA
Source: RNAcentral
GUCGCAAGACCAAAGUGGGGGACCUUCGGGCCUCAUGCCAUCAGAUGUGCCCAGAUGGGAUUAGCUAGUAGGUGGGGUAACGGCUCACCUAGGCGACGAUCCCUAGCUGGUCUGAGAGGAUGACCAGCCACACUGGAACUGAGACACGGUCCAGACUCCUACGGGAGGCAGCAGUGGGGAAUAUUGCACAAUGGGCGCAAGCCUGAUGCAGCCAUGCCGCGUGUGUGAAGAAGGCCUUCGGGUUGUAAAGCACUUUCAGCGGGGAGGAAGGCGACAAGGUUAAUAACCUUGUCGAUUGACGUUACCCGCAGAAGAAGCACCGGCUAACUCCGUGCCAGCAGCCGCGGUAAUACGGAGGGUGCAAGCGUUAAUCGGAAUUACUGGGCGUAAAGCGCACGCAGGCGGUCUGUCAAGUCGGAUGUGAAAUCC